This 518-nucleotide ribosomal RNA is filed under the name uncultured Gemmatimonas sp. RNAcentral's name for it is "bacterial SSU rRNA". It matches the Rfam family "Bacterial small subunit ribosomal RNA", at positions 521 to 1036 of the family's 1533-position model. Lineage: Bacteria; Pseudomonadati; Gemmatimonadota; Gemmatimonadia; Gemmatimonadales; Gemmatimonadaceae. The record is from RNAcentral.
UAAUACGGAGGGUGCGAGCGUUGUCCGGAAUCACUGGGCGUAAAGGGCGCGUAGGCGGUCUGCUAAGCGUGUGGUGAAAGCUCGGGGCUCAACCCCGAGUCGGCCAUGCGGACUGGUGGACUUGAGCACUGUAGAGGCAGGUGGAAUUCCGGGUGUAGCGGUGGAAUGCGUAGAGAUCCGGAAGAACACCGGUGGCGAAGGCGGCCUGCUGGGCAGUAGCUGACGCUGAGGCGCGACAGCGUGGGGAGCAAACAGGAUUAGAUACCCUGGUAGUCCACGCCGUAAACGAUGGGGACUAGGUGCUUGGGGGAGCGACCCCUCGAGUGCCGGCGCUAACGCAUUAAGUCCCCCGCCUGGGGAGUACGACCGCAAGGUUGAAACUCAAAGGAAUUGACGGGGGCCCGCACAAGCGGUGGAGCAUGUGGUUUAAUUCGACGCAACGCGAAGAACCUUACCCAGGCUUGACAUGGCAUUGUAAGCCGGUGGAAACACCGGCCCCUCUUCGGAGCAGUGUCACA